RNAcentral lists this unclassified non-coding RNA (335 nucleotides) under Candidatus Bartonella merieuxii. RNAcentral's name for it is "partial 16S-23S ribosomal RNA intergenic spacer". The stretch from base 103 to 176 matches the Rfam family "tRNA". The record is from RNAcentral. Lineage: Bacteria; Pseudomonadati; Pseudomonadota; Alphaproteobacteria; Hyphomicrobiales; Bartonellaceae.
UAAAGAAGGCGUUUAAAAAACAUAUCUGUUUCUUAAACAUAUCUUUUGUUUUUUGUUUUCUUUUGUUUGUCCCGGGGAAGGUUUUUGCCAAUUCACUCCUGAGGGCUUGUAGCUCAGUUGGUUAGAGCGCGCGCUUGAUAAGCGUGAGGUCGGAGGUUCAAGUCCUCCCAGGCCCACCAAUUUAUGAUUCUGAUAAAGUUUGCUGAUAAAGUUUUUGCGAACGUUUUGAUGGUCUUUUAUCUUGCCAUCUUUUACUUUUAUCUUGCUAUCUUUAAAAGUAUUUGAACUGUUUUAGGGGCCGUAGCUCAGCUGGGAGAGCACCUGCUUUGCAAGCA